RNAcentral lists this ribosomal RNA (253 nucleotides) under uncultured bacterium. Its description in RNAcentral is "partial 16S ribosomal RNA". It matches the Rfam family "Bacterial small subunit ribosomal RNA", at positions 524 to 776 of the family's 1533-position model. The record is from RNAcentral.
UACGUAGGGUGCAAGCGUUGUCCGGAAUUAUUGGGCGUAAAGAGCUCGUAGGCGGCCUGUCGCGUCGGUUGUGAAAGCCCGGGGCUUAACCCCGGGUCUGCAGUCGAUACGGGCAGGCUAGAGUUCGGCAGGGGAGACUGGAAUUCCUGGUGUAGCGGUGAAAUGCGCAGAUAUCAGGAGGAACACCGGUGGCGAAGGCGGGUCUCUGGGCCGAUACUGACGCUGAGGAGCGAAAGCGUGGGGAGCGAACAGG